RNAcentral lists this ribosomal RNA (253 nucleotides) under uncultured bacterium. RNAcentral describes it as "partial 16S ribosomal RNA". It matches the Rfam family "Bacterial small subunit ribosomal RNA", at positions 524 to 776 of the family's 1533-position model. The record is from RNAcentral.
UACGUAGGGGGCAAGCGUUGUCCGGAUUUAUUGGGCGUAAAGAGCGUGUAGGCGGCCUGAAAGGUCAGCUGUGAAAACUCGGGGCUCAACCCCGAGACGUCGGUUGAAACCAUCUGGCUAGAGUCCGGAAGAGGAGUGUGGAAUUCCCGGUGUAGCGGUGAAAUGCGCAGAUAUCGGGAAGAACACCCGUGGCGAAGGCGGCACUCUGGGACGGAACUGACGCUGAGACGCGAAAGCGUGGGGAGCGAACAGG